This 497-nucleotide ribosomal RNA is filed under the name uncultured bacterium. Its description in RNAcentral is "partial 16S ribosomal RNA". It matches the Rfam family "Bacterial small subunit ribosomal RNA", at positions 28 to 507 of the family's 1533-position model. The record is from RNAcentral.
GAUGAACGCUGGCGGCGUGCCUAAUACAUGCAAGUCGAGCGAACAGACGAGGAGCUUGCUCCUUUGACGUUAGCGGCGGACGGGUGAGUAACACGUAGGUAACCUACCUAUAAGACUGGGAUAACUUCGGGAAACCGGAGCUAAUACCGGAUAAUAUUUCGAACCGCAUGGUUCGAUAGUGAAAGAUGGCUUUGCUAUCACUUAUAGAUGGACCUGCGCCGUAUUAGCUAGUUGGUAAGGUAACGGCUUACCAAGGCAACGAUACGUAGCCGACCUGAGAGGGUGAUCGGCCACACUGGAACUGAGACACGGUCCAGACUCCUACGGGAGGCAGCAGUAGGGAAUCUUCCGCAAUGGGCGAAAGCCUGACGGAGCAACGCCGCGUGAGUGAUGAAGGUCUUCGGAUCGUAAAACUCUGUUAUUAGGGAAGAACAAACGUGUAAGUAACUGUGCACAUCUUGACGGUACCUAAUCAGAAAGCCACGGCUAACUACGUG